CCUACGGGAUGCACCAGUGGGGAAUAUUGCACAAUGGGGGAAACCCUGAUGCAGCGACGCCGCGUGAGCGAAGAAGUAUUUCGGUAUGUAAAGCUCUAUCAGCAGGGAAGAAGAAAUGACGGUACCUGACUAAGAAGCACCGGCUAAAUACGUGCCAGCAGCCGCGGUAAUACGUAUGGUGCAAGCGUUAUCCGGAUUUACUGGGUGUAAAGGGAGCGCAGGCGGAAGGCUAAGUCUGAUGUGAAAGCCCGGGGCUCAACCCCGGUACUGCAUUGGAAACUGGUCAUCUAGAGUGUCGGAGGGGUAAGUGGAAUUCCUAGUGUAGCGGUGAAAUGCGUAGAUAUUAGGAGGAACACCAGUGGCGAAGGCGGCUUACUGGACGAUAACUGACGCUGAGGCUCGAAAGCGUGGGGAGCAAACAGGAUUAGAUACCCCAGUAGUC
RNAcentral lists this ribosomal RNA (442 nucleotides) under uncultured bacterium. RNAcentral describes it as "bacterial SSU rRNA". It matches the Rfam family "Bacterial small subunit ribosomal RNA", at positions 338 to 795 of the family's 1533-position model. The record is from RNAcentral.